UGGUCCACGCCGUAACGAUGUCUACUAGCUGUUUGUGUCCUUGAGACGUGAGUGGCGCAGCUAACGCACUAAGUAGACCGCCUGGGGAGUACGGUCGCAAGAUUAAAACUCAAAUGAAUUGACGGGGGCCCGCACAAGCGGUGGAGCAUGUGGUUUAAUUCGAUGCAACGCGAAGAACCUUACCAUCCCUUGACAUCCAGAGGAUUUUGCAGAGAUGCAAUUGUGCCUUCGGGAACUCUGAGACAGGUGCUGCAUGGCUGUCGUCAGCUCGUGUUGUGAAAUGUUGGGUUAAGUCCCGCAACGAGCGCAACCCUUAUCCUUAGUUGCUAGCAGGUAAUGCUGAGAACUCUAAGGAGACUGCCGGUGACAAACCGGAGGAAGGUGGGGACGACGUCAAGUCAUCAUGGCCCUUACGGGAUGGGCUACACACGUGCUACAAUGGACGGUACAGAGGGCGGCGAGCUGGCAACAGUUAGCGAAUCCCUUAAAGCCGUUCG
This 497-nucleotide ribosomal RNA is filed under the name uncultured bacterium. RNAcentral describes it as "bacterial SSU rRNA". It matches the Rfam family "Bacterial small subunit ribosomal RNA", at positions 791 to 1288 of the family's 1533-position model. The record is from RNAcentral.